This 1284-nucleotide long non-coding RNA is filed under the name Chloebia gouldiae (Gouldian finch). RNAcentral's name for it is "Erythrura gouldiae (Gouldian finch) lncRNA (ENSEGOG00005002354.1)". The record is from RNAcentral. Lineage: Eukaryota; Metazoa; Chordata; Aves; Passeriformes; Passeridae.
CUACAGCAACCCCACACAGGGUAAUUUGGAACACAACUGCCUCCUUGGUGGGGAUGUGAAUCAUGGAAGAGCUGGUCUCCCACAUCCACUAGGUUCUCUCCAGAAAUGCCUGUUUGCAUCUGGGCAAUGUACAUGUUUUCACUGCUGGCUGUUUAGUUUGCACUCAUGUACACGGCGUGACUAAUGUGGAAUAGCAGGAACCUGCAAUUUUGAGAGCAGCUCCCUUAGUGGCCAGAGGUACCCCACUCUUCUGCCAGUCCACAGACAGCAGCGAGUGAGCAGAAUGAGGAUUUGCUGCUCCAAGGCUUCAGCCACUCUUCCAAGCUCUUCUGUUCUUCUUGGAUACAUCUGUUGGUGCACCAGGACUGGAGGUGGAAGAAGUAGGAGAGAGGGCAUGAGACAGCUGUGUCCAGAAGAUGUACUAAUGCUGGCUACACAGCACCAAAGACCAUAUGAUCAUCUCCAUUCAAACAGAAAGCAGCUACAUACAGCCCCCCACACAUCUUCUCUGGGCAUGGAAACUGGGCUGAGAAAACUUAUAUCCAAAGAAAAGGAGAGAAAUCAUUAUUUACCUAUGGAUAUGUAACGUGAAGAAAUCUGAUCAUAAACAUGUAACCACCCAGCAGACCUCAGUACAAGAAAUAAGGAUAAUUUGCCUUAAAACACACAAGUGUGAUUAAUUAAAUUUAGUUAUCUAGCAGAUAGGUGACUAAUGUAAAUUUUCAUCAGAAUUCCUUGACAAGCAAUGGAUAAAGACCCUUCCACAGUAUAUAUCAUCCUAUUUCAAUGUAAAUGUUUACAGUAAGUGGGAUGAAUAACACUCUAAAGAUGUAUACCUUCAUAUAGACUCCAUCCAGAGAGACUAGAUAAUUCAUUUAGACUAGGCACCUAAAUUGCAGAUAACUAAAAGUAAGGGAGUUGGAUCUUGCCCUGAAUGCCUGUCUGAACAAAGAAUACUUCUCAAGUUACUUAGAAAAUGAAUGCCACAGUGCUUCAGAAGGGUUAUGAUUACUCACAAUCCUUUGUAGGCUUCAUAACCUGCUGUGCUUUGUCCAGGAACUGCUGCAGACUGUGCAGAAACUCACAUAACAGGGCAUCCCAUGUUUGUCAGAGAGAGCAAAGCACCUGAGUGCUGGGUCUGGAGCUUACCUGGAGCUCCCAGAUGGACCUGAACUAACCAAGCAUGGCUAAGACCUGCUCUUAGUUCUGCUCCUUUGGGGGAAGAGGAUUUGUCAGCAGUAACAGCAAUGGACUUCCAAUGCCACAGUGCUGAGCAAGCAAGCA